AGAGUUUGAUCAUGGCUCAGAUUGAACGCUGGCGGAAUGCUUUACACAUGCCAGUCGAACGGCAGCACGGAGAGCUUGCUCUCUGGUGGCGAGUGGCGAACGGGUGAGUAAUAUAUCGGAACGUGUCCAAUAAUGGGGGAUAACGAGUCGAAAGAUUCGCUAAUACCGCAUACGCCCUACGGGGGAAAGCAGGGGAUCGUAAGACCUUGCGUUAAUGGAGCGGCCGAUAUCUGAUUAGCUUGUUGGUGAGGUAAAGGCUCACCAAGGCGACGAUCAGUAGCUGGCUUGAGAGAACGACCAGCCACACUGGAACUGAGACACGGUCCAGACUCCUACGGGAGGCAGCAGUGGGGAAUUUUGGACAAUGGGGGCAACCCUGAUCCAGCCAUUCCGCGUGAGUGAAGAAGGCCUUCGGGUUGUAAAGCUCUUUCGCGAGGGAAGAAAACUUAUGAUCGAAUAAAUCAUGAGGUUGACGGUACCUUGAUAAGAAGCACCGGCUAACUACGUGCCAGCAGCCGCGGUAAUACGUAGGGUGCGAGCGUUAAUCGGAAUUACUGGGCGUAAAGCGUGCGCAGGCGGUUUUGUAAGUCGGAUGUGAAAUCCCCGGGCUCAACCUGGGAACUGCGUUCGAAACUGCAAGGCUAGAGUGUGUCAGAGGGGGGUAGAAUUCCACGUGUAGCAGUGAAAUGCGUAGAGAUGUGGAGGAAUACCAAUGGCGAAGGCAGCCCCCUGGGAUAACACUGACGCUCAUGCACGAAAGCGUGGGGAGCAAACAGGAUUAGAUACCCUGGUAGUCCACGCCCUAAAACGAUGUCAACUAGUUGUUGGAGAGUAAAAUUCUAUGAGUAACGUAGCU
RNAcentral lists this ribosomal RNA (856 nucleotides) under uncultured bacterium. Its description in RNAcentral is "bacterial SSU rRNA". It matches the Rfam family "Bacterial small subunit ribosomal RNA", at positions 8 to 853 of the family's 1533-position model. The record is from RNAcentral.